AAAGAUAGAGGUUGCGUAUUUCAAGAGUAGUUUUUCUGAUGUGGCAGGCACAGGAGAGGAAAGAUAAAAGGGAAAGACGCCGAAAGAGGAGAUGCCCCUGCGUAUCAAGUCUUGGGCAUGCAGUUAAGAGCUGUGUGACUGUCAUCUAGAAGUUAGAUGGGGCGCUAUCAGUU
Molecule: non-coding RNA, 173 nt
Filed under: human gut metagenome
Description: Lysine riboswitch
Rfam family: Lysine riboswitch aptamer
About the family: Riboswitches are metabolite binding domains within certain messenger RNAs that serve as precision sensors for their corresponding targets. Allosteric rearrangement of mRNA structure is mediated by ligand binding, and this results in modulation of gene expression.
Source: RNAcentral